AUUGAACGCUGGCGGCAUGCCUUACACAUGCAAGUCGAACGGCAGCGCGGGCUUCGGCCUGGCGGCGAGUGGCGAACGGGUGAGUAAUGCAUCGGAACGUGCCCAGUAGUGGGGGAUAGCCCGGCGAAAGCCGGAUUAAUACCGCAUACGACCUGAGGGUGAAAGCGGGGGACCGAAAGGCCUCGCGCUAUUGGAGCGGCCGAUGUCGGAUUAGCUAGUUGGUGGGGUAAAGGCUUACCAAGGCGACGAUCCGUAGCUGGUCUGAGAAGACGACCAGCCACACUGGGACUGAGACACGGCCCAGACUCCUACGGGAGGCAGCAGUGGGGAAUUUUGGACAAUGGGGGCAACCCUGAUCCAGCCAUGCCGCGUGCGGGAAGAAGGCCUUCGGGUUGUAAACCGCUUUUGUUCGGGAAGAAAUCCUCUGGGCUAAUACCCCGGGGGGAUGACGGUACCGGAAGAAUAAGCACCGGCUAACUACGUG
Molecule: ribosomal RNA, 484 nt
Filed under: uncultured bacterium
Lineage: Bacteria
Description: partial 16S ribosomal RNA
Rfam family: Bacterial small subunit ribosomal RNA
Source: RNAcentral